UAACAGGGCUCAACGUCUCAUCUACGGCCAGGCACGUCUGACUUGAUUUUUUCGCAACUCAUUCAUUGACAGCCGUUGGAUCGUUCUGGAAAAUUAAUAAAUCACCCCUCGUUCUCAGUCCCCAUAUACAUUUUCAUUUUCUUGUACAGAUUUUUUCAUUUUCUUGUACAGAUUCUCUCUCACCGUGAAAUUCCAUUACCCCCUUUUCGUUAGAUCUCUUCUCCUUGAUUUCUCAGCUUUGAAUUCGUUCGACGAUCUGCGUUUUGAUUAUGGAUUCGAGUGUUUUCGUUGAGCGAUUCGCUUCCGAUCUUCGAUUCAGAGAUAUGUGGUUCAAGACUCAUCCCUUCUUCGGCCAUGGGUGAAUUGACUGGAAAUCGAAAGAUCCAUCGAGGCUCUUAAUGUUUGUUCUGAACCAUUAGUGCUCGGGCUUUGUUCACCUGGUUCGAUGCGAAACCUUGCUGUCUUUCUGAAAUUCUUGAGAUCUAAAACGCUUGGUUAGAUCGGUGCAAUCAAUUCAGAUAUCGUGAUUCUUUAUGGAUUCAGAUCGUAUUUUGAUAUGAAGCUGUGAAGGAUUGCUAAAGUGUUUCUUUAUGCUUUUUUGAUGUGCUUUCUUUUGUCAUCUUCUUGGUAUAAUAAAGAAGAUAGUUUGUUUGUGUGUGUGUGUGUGUGUGUGUUUCGGUGUGUACCAGAGGGGUAUAGCCUAGGGUAACAAAAAAAUGUGAGAUGUGUAAUGUUCUACUGGUUGUCAAUCGACCUUUGCCAUGUCAGGUGCGCUUGCUUGGCAGGUCAAAAAAGCCCUAAUAAAAAGUUUGUUUUUUGUGUUUGAGGGGGAGAUGGUACGGGGUUUUGCCCGGUUCUCCCCUUCUUGUGUGUUGCGUCUUUUUGGUUUUUGUUGGUUUUUUCUUGAUUUUGUCCACCCCAAUUCUCUCUCCAAACCAUUUAGUUGUUCAUCGUGUCUUUAUUUGUCUCUCGAAUGGAUGAUUUUACAUCGAUUCGAAACAAGUAGGGACAUCAACACGCCAACUAUUUGUAUUCAUCAAGCAAGCAAGCAAACACAAGGAUGGGAUUAGCACGUCAUGACUAUUCAGUCCAAGAGGUACGAACAAACAAUUUCCUUUAAUUUAUUUUGGCACUAAUUAUUUGCAUUUUGAGCAUUUUAAUGAGGGAAAAUUAUGCAUCAAUAAAUUAUUACAGAUUUAUGAAAGUUUAUAUUUUCAAUUAUUAAUAUUUAUGAAGUUAAGUUUUUAAUUCGAGCAUGUCUGAAUCUACCAUCUCAUUAGCCUCAUUUCAAAAUUUUCAAAAUUUAAUCAAUAAGUAAAUUUAGGCCAAGUUUGGGAAGACUAAAUAAGUGUACUUUUUGACUUUUUAUGAAAUAUGUGUUGGAUUUAGAUUGGGUUUGAAGUGAUAUGUUAGAGAGCUGAUGUGACUUAAAUAAGAUGAUAUGACUUAAAUAGUAUAGUGAUUUUUUGACUUUUUGAAUUUUUUUGAGGGUGCGGCCUUAAUCUUUAUUCUCAAAAUUUAAUCAACAAGUAAAUUUCUGGCUACAAAAUUCUUGAUGGUUUACAUUUUUCAAUAAUAAAAUCCAAGUAACAUCUAACAUACGCCCAAAAAGAAAAUUUUAUAGACACCAUAUGCCAAAUUAUGAUUUUGUGGUCUUUUGGUUACUUCCUAUGUUAUGACUUGGUCAUGACUGGUGUUUAUGACCAGUUGUGAUUAGGAAAAUGAUAUAGAAGCUUAUUUUUUAGGCUUAUUUUUUAGAUGCAAUGAUGUAUGGAAAGAUGAUUGGUGAUGAUUAGACACCACUAUAGUGAUUAUUAUUUUGUUGGUUAUGACUUAUAGUGAUCAUUAUUUUGGUUGUAAUCAGAAAUGACUUUGGAUAUAUUUUUAUGUGGUGUUUGGGUGUGAUAUUAUUUUUUAAGUUAUGUUUGAAAAUGAUUUAGUUAUGGCAUUUAUGGUAAUCAAUAUAAAAAAAUGUGCAUAUGGUAAGGCUCUGUAUUCUAGAAUGACCCCAUCGUAAGUAACACUAAUAUUGUAGAUGGUUCAAAUGUCAAAGAUUGUUGGUUCAGAUAUUGUGUAAUUGUGCACAUAAUGUAAUUUUACAGAGGUUUAGUUGUACUGUGAUGAUGUGCGUGGGUUGGUUUAUAUUUGCGUUUUUGGUUAGGGUUUGGGUUGGAAUGUAUGGUGGUUUGGAGGGUUGGUCCCUUAUGCGUAAUUGUAAUUUAGUCAAAAUGUCAAUUGUAAACCAGUAUGAAGCUCAAGGGUUGGUGGUGGUUGGAUGUUGUGACUUUAAAUCUCAGAUGUGGGUUCAUGGAUUUUGUUUCAGCGUUGCAGCAGAGUAAAGAUUCUUGAUUCCUUUGUGCUAGCUGGAGAGAGGAUGUAUGUUAGCAGAUCAUUUGAAGGAAUAAAUUCAUGCAUUGCAAAAAAGAAUUUUUUUGUCAUCAUGUUGGUGCGAGAGGAGAGUACUUUAUUUUGUGGUGAACUCGUAAUUUUUUGGCUAUUUCUUUAAUGCUGCGUAGUUUUUCUAGCUAAUGUGACAGAUUUUGAAUUGCAUUGGUUCUGAUUUUGGGGUUGAGCAUGUCUAAUUCAAAUCUUGAUUCUUCAUGUGUAGAUUUUGUAGUGUUUAACUUUAUUAAUAUUUUGGCAGAUGUUGGAGUCCUUAAUACUAGUAUUUCUUGAGGGUGGCUUGAGUUGGAAGUGUUAUUGGGUCAUCUAACGUGUGAGACAGAUUUCUAGAGUUUGCUUCGGACACGCCAUGUUUGCUAAAGUGUUGCAAUGCCACAAUAAGAUAAUGGAGAACAACAAAAUCAUGAACUUUGGGAGAUUUGCCCUUUCCAUUUAUGAAGGCAGAAACAAAUUCAGACUAUUAACAGGAAUUGAGAUAGACUCAGUUUAACAGUGUCUUCUAGUUAACCUUUGGAACAACCAUAACUACCCAGUUAAACGUCUGUCAACUUUAAACUCUCUUAGUGUAUACUUUUUAAAAAGCCAGAAUAAACCUUUGUCUAAAAGCUUUUCUUUUUAUGUAGUAGCUAAAGGAACCAAGCCUGGUAUUUACUAUGAUUGAUUAUAAGUUGAACCCUUAGUUAAAAACUUUUCCAUACCUCAGAUUAAAUGAUUUUAUGAUUUCGAGUCGGCUAGUACAUAUGCCUGUAGACAAAUAAGAACCAAUUACUUUAUCAGUCAGAUAACUAAAGAUUAUCUAGACACAUUGGGCAAGAUGCAGUCAACCAUUCUUGCUAUUAGUGGAGCUCUAGUUAGCCAGAUAAUUGAAAGCAGUAGUACUAACCUUCAGAUAGAUUCUCAAAAUCCUCUCCAAAUGUGCAGACAUUGUGAAGGCCUUAACAGAAAUUUCAAGAAAAUCAUGGAUAAAGGCAAAAAGGUCAGUGAAGAGCUAGACCAGCUCCGAGACGAAGAAAAACAAUUGAGAGCUACCAUUCGAACCCUAACCAAUCAGCUUAAAAAACUAACUCCAGAAAAAGCACCUACUUCAUUUCUUGACCUAGAAACCAGACAACUCACCAGUGAGGAAUUUGAACAAUUGAGUGGUAGAAUGUAUUUCUUCAGCUAUUCUAUCAUUCGAUCUUUUUGUGAGAAAAAUCAAGAAAUAAAGGACCUUAAACCCUAUAUAUACACCUUAGCCGAAGAUAGCAGAAAUAGUGAGCUAGUCACUAUACAGUAGUUUCUUCAAGAUCUCUCCAUAGCAGGAGUUCACUGCCCUGGUAUAGCUUAUCAAUAGACUUAUCUCUAUAAGGAUGAAGAGCAGCCCUGCUUAGAAGAGGAAAGAUGUAUGGACAGGCCAGAAUAUUUUGAUAGAUGUCAGUGUAAUUUAGAUUUCAGCAUCUGCCUUUGCCUUUGCCUUUGCCAGAUAAAUCUAGCAAUGUUCGAGCCAUUGGAGAUAGAGAUUAGGGGCAAACCGUGUUAUCUAACAAUUUCAUAAUUGUUAGAUUACGGCUUUGUCUUUAGAAUAAUUUUCUUAGAUCUAGAUCAGACAGAUAGUUUUGGAAAUAAACUUGCUCAUUCAGUACUUUGUGUAAUAGAAGAGCAUCAUCCAUAUGUAGAAACAUUAAUUGAUAGCAAGCUAUCAGAAUGUAAAGGAAUAAGGUGCAUCCCCGCCAAGCAUAAAAUGUACCUAAGAGGAACUUCAACAUUUCCAUGAUACUCAGGACUUCUCAAUCGAAGACCUUGGCCAUGCAGAAAAUUUUCACUUAGAGAUCAGCUCAAUAAAUGGAGGAAAUUUGCUAAUAAUCCUCUAUUAGCGUAUAAUAGAAAUUGUGGACAUCUAGUCUGCGAAGAUAGAAAUCAGAAGAUAUACUGUAACCUAGCUAUCCCAGGUUAUCCCUUCAGCAAAGAAACAUUCGUCGAUGAAGUCAAUAUCCUAACUAUCAGCAUAGCGUCUCUCAUGAGUCAUCAUUAAUGGGAGAAAAUGACCAAGAUAACCAAUAGGGAAAUGGACCAGAUAUGGGGGAUGAUUUUUAUGACCAGCUUUCAGCAGCAGAUCUUGACGAUCUCCCAGAUAGAAGUAUGGGUAAAAAAAAAAAAAAAGGUGCACG
Camellia sinensis is the source of this 4550-nucleotide non-coding RNA. NCBI's taxonomy places the organism in Eukaryota, Viridiplantae, Streptophyta, Magnoliopsida, Ericales, Theaceae. The record is from RefSeq and is a predicted model, not a curated record.